Micropterus salmoides (largemouth bass) is the source of this 161-nucleotide long non-coding RNA. RefSeq lists it as uncharacterized. The record is from RefSeq and is a predicted model, not a curated record. Lineage: Eukaryota; Metazoa; Chordata; Actinopteri; Centrarchiformes; Centrarchidae. The transcript is spliced from 2 exons.
CAAGGAUCAAACUGCCCUCUUUAUUAAAUUGAGGGGGGAGAGCGACCACCUCUUCACCGGGGCAAAGUUUUCUGCCAACGUGGCUUGGAGGACAACUUUGGAGAAAAUGGGCCUGUGGGGGAAGGUGACUUCCCUCCAAGCGAAAAAAAAGUGGGACAAUU